AGAUCCGCUUCAUACUUUCUGAGCAAUUUCUGAUUGGCUCAGUAUUUACCAUUUUAAUUGCAAUUUUUAAAUAGUUGUAGACCUUAAAUCUGUUCUUCCCUCUCUAAGCCACCGAGACAUGUGUAGUAAUUUGGACAAAAGCAAAACAGAGCGUAAUAUGGUUGGAUUUGAGCUUGAAUUGGCCAUGAACUAGUGUCGUUCUGUAUUUUUUAAUUCUUUGCUUAAGCUGAGUCUUGUAAUAAUAAAAUGGGAUAUCCGCAUUAAAAAUUUAAAUCUUUGCUGAUUUUUGCGUCCUAAUCCAAUUUUUUAUUUUUGAUACAAAAUGGUGUAUAUUGAAAAAUAAUUGAUUUAUUUUUAUUAUUUUAAUUUGUUGAUUUAAAAAAUUAAAUCAAAUUGAAAAAAUAAAAAUAUUUAAAUAAAUACACAUGAUAUGAUACAUAUGAUAUGCGAUAUCAACUACUAGUACAUACUCCUCUAUUUGAAAUUUAAAAUUAGAUAAAAUUAUUAAAAUGUUUAAAUUUUGAUUUACUGUGCUAGAAAAUAAAAUUUUGGAUUAAAAUGUAAAAAUUUGCAAAUAUUUAUAUUUUAAUGUUAAUAUUCCUAAUAAAAUAAUACAAAAAAUGAAAUUUUAUUGUACCUAUUUAAAAAUUAUGUAAAUAUUUAAUAAUUCAGGACGUCCACUUGCACUCUCGAGUUUCUUAUAUGCUCUCGAUUAAGAUUCAACUAGUAACGACACUGCACAAGCUUAGCACUUUACCAACGUCAAAUGUCACGCCCUUUGCAAGUACAUGGUCCAUCUUGGACUUGUGGGAGCUCCUAGGAGGUGUGUCAUGGAAAGUAUGAACAUCAUGACCAACACUCUUUACUUUUAGUUCUACAUAGCGCAUUGCAAGUCCGACACAUUACAUAUUCAACAACGUGUGUGGAUGUAAUUGAAUUGAAUUUUAAAGAUUUUGAAGUUUAAUUGGUUUUUUUUUCGCAAGCACAAACUCAGUUUGUUUUUAUUUUGUUAUAAAUUCGUGAUGGGCUGAAUUUAUGGAGUUUUUAAUCUCACCUUAUAUUUAGCUUGUUUACAAAGCUUGUAAAUUCAAAUUUGAAUCAUCAAAUUAAUGAAUAUAGAAAAUGAAAAAUUAAUUGAAUCAGUAAUCAUAAUGGUAAAAUUAAUAAAAUUAUACAAUUUUAAUUAAGAUAUAUUGAAUAUAAAAAGUUAUACGUUUUAUACAUUUCAUAUUUAUAUUUUAUAUUUUUUUUACAAAGCUAAAAUUUUAAAAUUAUUCAUGAUAUUAGCCAACAGAGUAAUAUAAAUUUAAAAAAAAAUUAAUGGUAAAAAAAUAUGACUUUUGAAGUUUUAUUUUUUAUUAAUAAAAAUAAUUUUUUAAAAUUAGAAUCUCAUGUAAAAUCAAAAUCAACAUAUCAAUAAAAGAGAUCCAGUUAGAUAAAGAUAAAAAAAUAUAAUUCGAUACUACAUUAACGGAGAAAACAAAGGUUCGACUAAUAGAGUUACUAAAGAAUCAAGUAACCACUUUCAUUUGGUCUCCAAAAGAUGUAAUAUGUGUGAACCUGACUCUCAUCACCCAUAAGUUAUUUAUUGACAAGAUCGCUGAACCAGUCUAAUAAAAAAAAAAGAAAGUUUGCACCAAAAAGACAAUAGGUAAUCAAAAAAGAGGUUAGUAAAUUUUUGAGUGCAGGGUUGAUAAAGGAAGUCCAGUAUCCCACGUAACUAGUCAAUGCGGUCCUAGUAAAUAAAGUUAACGAGAAAUAGAGGAUGUGCAUGGAUUUCACAGACUUGAAUAAAACAUUUCCAAAAGAUCAUUACUCGUUGCCGUCCAUCGACAGAUUAGUAAACUCGACCUCGAGUUAUGCAAUAGUUUCCUUCCUCGAUGCUAUUUAAGGAUACCACCAAAUCAUGGACAUAGAUGAUGCAGAGAAAAUUGUGUUAAUGAUAGAUGAAGGAGUUUACUGCUACAAAAUAAUGCCUUUUGGAUUGAAAAAUGUGCGACUAAAGGCUGGUGUCAGGAAUCUUCAAAGACAUGGUGGGAUCAAUAGUCGAAGUGUACGUAGAUGACAUGGAAGUAAAUAGUCGAUCCUUAGAAUAUCAUCCAGAAGAUAUUUGUAAAGUUUCUGAUGUCCUGGACAUGGCGGGUAUGAAGUUGAACCCUGAAAAGUGUACCUUUGGGGUAAAGACUGGGAAGUUUCUAGGGUAUAUCAUCUCAGAAUGAGGUAUAGAAGCGAACCCUGAGAAGAUCAGUGCCAUCCAAAAUAUGGAAGCACCCAAAACCAUCAAUGAAGUACAGAGGUUAAAUAGGCGAGUCAUUGUCUUGGGUGAUUCAUAUCAUGUUCGGUCAGAAGGUGCCUCCCAUUCUUCAAGGCCUUAAAAAGCAAAGGUAAGUUUGAAUGGGGAGGAAGAAUGUGCAGAGGCUUUUGAAAGUCUGAAAAACUUUUAUCAUCUCCUUCAUUGCUAAGCCUACCUGUCAAAAGCAAAGUUUUAUUUUUAUACUUAUUUGUGACGCAAAAAAUAGUUUGCUCAAUGCUUGUUCACGAAAACAAUGGGAAUAAAGCCUAAUAUAUUAUGCCAGCAAAGUUUUGAAGGGGGCAGACUGAAUUAUCAUUCUUUCAAAAAGUUAGUAUUUGCAGUCCUAAUGUUAGCCACAAAACUACGACCAUACUUCAAGUCACACACCAUAGAAGUCAAAGCCGAUUAUCCUCUGCGAAAGGUUCUACACAGACCGGAGCUGUCAAGGUGGUUGUCUACCUGGGCGGUAAUAUUGUCAGUCUAUGAUAUCAGGUAUGUUCCAAGAAAGGUCAUGAAAGCCCAGGUGCUAGCCAAUUUUGUCAGGGAAAUGACUCCGCCAUUAGAACCUUUGGAGUCCCCUGAAUCAAUCAUAGAGGAGGGGAAGGUUUGGGCAGAUGGAGCUUAUGGAGCCAAAGGUUCCGUAAUUGAGAUCCUGUUGCAAUUUCAAACCAAUAUAAAGUUUCGAUAUGCAACAAAGCUCGCCUUCAAUACCACCAACAAUAUAGCCGAAUAUGAGGCUAUAAUAAUGGCCAUGAGAAUCAUCAAGGAAUUAGGUAUAAAAAAUCUAUUAUUUUUAGUGACUCACGACUGAUUAUUAAUUAGUGUCAAGGACAAUUCAAAGUUCGAGAACUGAAUCUUGUCAAAUACAAGAAAAAGGUUCAGAGGCAGCUGCGAACUUUAUUAGGUGGCCAGAGACAACAAUGAAAAGGAAAAUCUUCUAACCAAGAUGACGACAGCAGAUGAAUAGCAUUUGACUUAACUGUUUCACUUUAAGGAAUUGCACACUCCAGCAAUGGAAGUGGAAGAGUCUUAUCCCAUAGAAGAGGGAAAAUCAUGGAUGAUACACAUCUAUAAAUUUCUGACACAAGAUAAUCUUCCAGCCGACUAGUUAUUUGCUAAACAAGUAACAAGGAAGUCUUUUAAAUACGUACUAAUUGAUGGUUGGUUGUACAGGAGGUCCUCCAUGCAGCUAUAGCUGCGAUGUUUUACAGAGGAGGAAGGCCAAGAAAUCCUAAAGGAUAUCCAUGAAGGUGAUUAUGGAAGGCAUGAGGGAGCUUGAACAAUCGCCCAAAAAGCAUUCAGACAAGGGUACUAUUGGCCAAAGGUAAUGCAAGAUGUAAGGCAACUUGUCUAUAAGUGUCGAAGAUGCCAAGUACACACAAACAUUCCAAGGACCUUGGGAGAAAUGCAAGCAACCAUUGGAAGCCUUUGGCGCCUUUUUUUCAGUGGGGGAUAGACAUCCUUGGCCUGUUCCUUAAGGCAUCCAGGUCAAGGAAGUUUGUAAUCAUGGCAGUAAACCAUUUCAGCAAAUGGGCAAAAGUUGAGACAGUACAAUCCAUCACCACCCAGUAAGCAAUUUAAUUUGUCAGCAAAAAUAUAAUCACUCGAUUGGGGAUACCAAAGAUAGUGAUCACCGAUAAUGGGACUCAGUUUGCAAGCUCUAGGUUUAAAGACUUCUACAAGAAAUAGAAAAUUGACUUGAGGUUCAGCUCAGACAAUCAUCACUAGACUAAUGGAAUGACUAAGGUUACAAACAAAACCAUCCUAUAGAGACUAAAGAAAAGGCUCGACCAAGUCAAGGGCAACUGGCUUGAAAAGUUACUUCACAUACUAUGAGCAUACAGGACCACUUCUAGAACAGCUAUAGGAGAAACAUCAUUUUCUCUUGCAUAUAGGGCCGAGGCAGUCAUCCUCAUAGAAAGUCCAAGUAAGUAGCUUCAAUACACAACACCCUAAGAUUUUUGGAAAAUCCAAAGAGAUGUAAUUCAAUUUGGACCAAGCUGAGUUCCUACGAGAAAGGCCGCAAUUAAAAUAGCGAUUUACAAAAAUAAAAUGUCCAGAAUGUUGAACAGUAAGAUCAUGCCACAACCUUUUAAAGUGGAAGUCCUCAAAAGAACAAAUGUAAUAAGUGGCAAUAUCGGGCCUGGUAAGUUGGGUGAGAACUGGAAAGGAUCGUUUAGGAUCUCAAAGUUUAUUCGUUUAGGAUCAUAUAAGCUAGCCAAGUUAAAUGUUCAAAUCAUUCCCCAUGCCUGGAAUAUCUGUAAUCUGAGCAUGUUGUGUUGUUCAGUGAUAAGAAACGAUGUGAUUGCCUUCCUGAAAAUGAUUAAGAAGACGAGAAGAGGCUACGAGGCGAGUGUCGCCAGGCCAAGUCACAAAGCGGGUGUCCCCAGGCCAAGUCACAAAGCAGGUUUCUCCAGACCAUUCGGGUGUUGGUCCCACUAAACUAGGCCACAAGGUAGGUUCUGCCAAGCCAGGUCACAAGACAAGUUUCGCCAGACUGUUUGGACAUUAGUCUCACUAAACAGGACCACAAGGCGAUUUCUGCCAGGCUAGGUGAUACGGAUAAGGAAAUAAUACGAUACUUCAAAAAUUUAAAAAGGGAAACUCCAAAUCAUGACAAAUCAAGUUACUAUCGCUUAAUUCAAGGCUUACGAGAUGAGAACUAUAUUUGGGAAGCAUGGGAGAAGAAGGAAACAAAUCAGACUCUCUUCAACACAUGUGGACGCACAACACAAUUUCAGAUCGCGUAAUGCAUGUAUGACCAAAUUGCAUUUAGGCCAGUUUUAUUAUUUUAGUAUUUUAGUAUUUUGUGGGAUUUGUUUUAAAUUAAUUUGACCUAUAUUAGAAGCCAAAUUCGUGCAGCCCAUUUAGGAAGGAGAUUUCUCCAAGAUAAUUUAGGAAAAUGAUCUUUAAUGUAAUCCAGAUUUGACUAUUUGACUAGAUACCCUUCCUAUAUUGUAAUUACACCUUCCUACAAUAGAAUUAGGGUUUGAAGGCUAUAAAAACAACCUUAAGGUGGCAGCCACGAGAAGGCAGUGAAUAAAAAUGAUUUUUUGAACAAUAUUUGGUUCUUCUCCAUUAUUUGGUAACUUAUCAAGGUUUAACCUUGUGGCGUUCUGAUAUGGAUUUCCUCCAUGCUUAGUUAACUUAUCAAGAAUUUCUUGUGGCGUUCUCGAAGCUGGAAUCGCUUGAUUAUCUAUGUUUCUAAUCACAUGGUUGGUUAGGGGUGUGGUAGAGUAACCUUCGCUUGAUUAUCCAUGUUUCUAAUCACAUUCGUUGGUUAGGGGUGUGGUAGAGCAACCUUCUGGAAGAUAUCUUUGUCUUGUUCUUUAUCAAGUUGUGUGACGGGGUUUUUUAUCACAAGUUGGUCCUGAGUUCCGCAUCACUAGGUCACAAAAUGGAUUCUGCCAGACCACUCGGGCAUUGAUCCUACUAAAUGACUCCAAAAGGCGAGUUUUGUCAGGCUAGGUUAUAAGGUGGAUUUCACCAAACCAUUCAGGCAUCGGUCCCAGUAAAUAAAGCCACAAGGUAAGUUCUGCCAUGCCACAAUCCAAACAUUGUUCCCUAUAAACAGUUGAUCUAUGCCAGACAUCCACAAGGUGGGUAUAACAAUCCCCAAGAGAUGAAGGUGUCAACCAAAGAUUAACGUUAAUAAGGCAAGUCUUAUGACCAAGUAUCAAGACGAGUAACCGAUUGAAAGUGCCUUAUUGCAAAAUUUUGUCAAUGCGUUGGAAAAGCGAGAGUCUGCUAGGCCACAGGCACGAGUAUUAAUCUCGUUUUGCAAAAGUUCUCUAAAUUAUUUUAUAUCUGUUAAGUCCUACAAAGUAAGUGCACUUUAGGUCCCUUCAUUGGGCAGAAAAGGGUGGCCAUUAGAUUCCAUAGUUUGGAUAAAAGAUAGCCCCUUGGCCAAUUGUUCAAAUUAUUGAUAAGUGACAAAGGGAACAAACAAACGCUUAAGGGUAGAUAUACAAAAUAUAUAUUACAAAAGUUAACAAGGGGAUAAGGUGGGCUUCGGCAAGUCUCUAUUACAUCAAAAUAUUUUAAAAAUCUAUCAACAGAGACCCAGUUGGCAGGGUUAUCUCCAACCUCUCGACCUUAUCCUUUAGGAAGAUGUCAUAUGUCCAGAACAAGCCACAUAAAGAACCCCUUCUCUAAUUGCUUUUUUGGCCUAGCCCUUGGAAUCAAUCUUGCACAAUCCAACUCCCUUUGUGAGAUCGUGACACUAAAAAGCCAUUAUAGUAGGAUUGAUUGCAGUCCUCAGAGCUAAAUAGUAUACUUGUACCUUCAUGAAGACUCGACUUUAGUUGCUCUUCAAAGAUCAUGAUAAUAUCCUCCGCACAAAUCAGGCUACUCUCAGGAAAAGAAAAGAAAAUACCCCCAUUCAUGUCUCCCACAGAUGCCAGUCAUAAAUAAAAAGAAGAGAAAGGAGGGUUAUUAUACCGUGGCAUAGCCGACAAAACUUUAAAUAUGCCUCAAAAAAUAAGGCAACUAUCGUGACCAAGGGAAGACAAAAUGAUGUAAGUAGUAAAGGCCAAUCAAAUUAUCGAAAAGACAAACCGUCACUUUUGAAUCUGAAGAACUGAAGACCAGUGAGGGACUACUGAUGCUACAUAACAAUCGCCCAAAAUAAGCCAUGAGUUGUUGCCAUAGAAUAGGUCCAUGUGGCAAGGAUUGAAAAGUAAGCAACAUGGUUCAGCCCGAGAAAAGGAAGGCCCAGACACCUUAGCACCUGGUUGAUCAUUAAGACUCACCCUUCCCUCGAUAGGGCAUGUCUCGGCGCAAAGUUACCGUUAUGAGACACAAUUUAGUGUAUCAUCAUUACGCAUAUAAUCAUAGGAUUACCAACCCAUUAGCUGACGAUAUUCCUUAACAAACAGCCAACUACAUCAUUGCCGGAUUAUCAAAAAAUGCUAUAUUCAUCUCCACUUACUUAUAUAGUAUAAAAGAAGAAAAAUCAUAGAGGUAAAGGUACGCUGUUUUUUGACGCAAAAACUCUAAGAAAUUUACUAUAUUCACUAUCUUCUCCAGUAUUUUGACUUGAGUGUUAGAGUAACUGCCCUAAGCACCCAUCACUAUCUCAUAUUCUCUUCUUUGUAUGUGUAGUCAAUCACAACGUAACUCCAUUCUGGUCACGUCAUCGAUUUAGACUUUGAAACAUCACUAACUAGUUAGAUAAAUAAAUAGACUAAUGCUUAAUGGUUUGAAAACAUAGGGACUCAUUAAUUUGUUUUUGAAAAUAAAGAGAUCAAAUAAUUAGUUUUAUUUAACUACACAGAUCAAAUAGUAAUUGCUGCUAUAAACAAACUAUUUUGCUGAACGACAGAGUUUUAACGGAAAACCACAUCGUUUCGAUUUUGGGGGUUACAGACGAGCCCUAAAAUACAUGUCCCGAUGUGCAGCUGCUCUUUUCCCCUUUCUUUCUCGGCUCUACCCUCGACCCUUUUUCUAUUUGUCCCCCAACUCAUCUCUUAUCCUCCUUCGAGCUCAGACGACUGUCUUGCCCUCUCUCACUUGCAUUCUCGAAGGUGAGACUUGCUUAUUUUAAAAAAUGUCACAGAUUUCGUCUCACAAUACUGUGAUUUCAGGUGUCGUGUCCAUAUCUGAGUAUCUUUAAUUCCCGACCAAGUUUGGUUACUCUAAAGCUUACCAAUGAACUGCUAUGGACAGAUGAUUUUAGCCUUCGAUUUUGGGCCUUUGUCUUUGUCAAUCAUCUUUAUAUGUGCCUUUUGUGUUCUGGGAUUAACUGUUUUAUGCAAAUUCCCCCCUCUAUUUCCCGGGUCAUUCUCUUGUUAUUGUUGUUACUGAUAUGUGAUGUAAAGCUUUUAUUUUCAUAUAUCCCUUUGUUAUAUGCAGAUGAAUAGGGAGAGACUUAUGAAGAUGGCUGGUGCCGUUCGCACUGGUGGGAAGGGCAGCAUGAGAAGGUGGGAUGUGUAUUUCAACUUCUAACUAUCAAAUUUAUCUCAUACGAUAUGCCUAUAUCAAGUAUUUAUCAAUUGGGUACUAUUUAAAUUUUCUUAUGAGUGGUUUGGCUUUGGCUACAAUGAGUUUCUGGCAGUACUUGGUUGCAAAUAUUCUUUUAAAGCUUUGUUCUUUACCACAGAAAGAAGAAGGCCGUACACAAGACUACCACUACGGAUGAUAAAAGGCUUCAGAGUACACUGAAGAGAAUAGGAGUGAAUGCUAUUCCUGCAAUAGAGGAGGUCAACAUAUUUAAGGAUGACACAGUUAUUCAGUUUGUGAACCCCAAAGGUGAAGGCUGCUUAUGCUUAUGGAUUGAUUUAUUUACAUCUUAUAAGCUGCUCAUAGUAAACAAGCUUUAUAAUUUUUUUUUUUUAAAUUUCAGUUCAAGCAUCAAUUGCUGCCAAUACAUGGGUUGUUAGCGGCUCUCCGCAGACUAAGAGUAUGGCUCUAAUUCUCCCAUCACUUGUAGGCAUUACAUGACUUCUAUUUCCAAUACUUGGAUUUGCUAUGGUUUUGUUUUCAAAUGUCGCGCUUGUGGUUGUCGCUUGCCCUUGAGACUAAGAAGGUUGACAGUAUUAUGUGAAGAAUGACUGAAGAGGCCAAGAUGAAGUAACAAAAAUUAUAAAUAAGAAUGUUAUCAAAGGUGACGUUAAGACACUACUGAAUUGUUUAUGAAAUAAUAGAAAAGCUUAAAAAUUAUGAACUUCAGGAUAUUGUGUGCCUAUAGUUGAAUAAAGAUGCCUCAAAGGUGAAAGGAGCUAUGUUACUUGGACUCGUAUAUGGAUGUCAGAUAUGGGUGCAUAUCAUGGAGGUAUGGAUCUAAGUUUAGACAUAGGUGCUUCGAUAAGAUAUAUUAUGUAAAAUAAAUUAGAAUAAAAAAUAUAAAAUUACAUAGUGAUAAUUAUAGUUUAAAUAGAUUAUUAAAUACAACUAAAUAUAUCAUCCAAAAUACAAUUAAAGAAAUAUUUUUAUGCAAAUACAUAAACUUAAUCUUGAGAGAGAAGAAUGCUCCAUUAACUAUGCAUGAAUAUAUCACUCAAGCAUCUAAGUGCACGAAUAUGUGUUAGACAUCAUAGUUGUGAAAGGCUCAAGGUGCACCGAGGUGCAAAGGGGGUUUGGAGCCUAGACGCAAGGCGCAAGCCCGCGCCCGAGUAAUGUGAGGCACUAAAAAGAAAAAGAUAGAUAAAAAUCCAAAGAUUCAUUAACAUUCUAGUAAACAUAAACCAAAAUGUAAUAAAGUUAAAGUAAAAAACAUCAAAUGCUAACACUAACAAUUCUAUAAUCACUAUUCACAUUCACAUUUCUAUAACCACAAUCAUAAUGCAUCUUCAUAAUCACAAUUUCACUAUUCACAGAAUACAUUACUUGGUCUCUCUCUACAAUCAUAAUGGCACAAUUCACAAUACAUCAAGUACUUAAAGCACAAUUCUCACCUAAUUGAACACAAAUUCACAAGUAACAUACAGCUGAAAAAAAAAGAAACAGAAUAGCAAUAGCACAGAACAGAUGCAGCAACAGAUCUGGUCGACAGCAACAUUAGAAAGUGUUGAAUCCCACAUCGGUUGUGGAAAGGGGUAAUGUGCCUCUCAUAUGGGCUAUAGGCACUCCUCUCCCUUGAGCUAGCUUUUGGGGUGAGUUAGACCUGGCCCAAAUUUAACAUGGUAUCAGAGUCUCUCCAUCCGAUGUUGGGCCUCCUAUUAAUAUGUCAUGUACCAGUAAAAUUCUGGGCAUAUAAACAUGUUAUGUACCAAUAAAAUUCUGGGCGUGAGAGGCUGUGUUGAAUUCCACAUCGGUUGUGGAAAGGGGUAAUGUGCCCCUUAUAUGGGCCAUAGGCACUCUUCUCCCUUGAACUAGCUUUUGGGGUGAGUUAGGCCUGGCCUAAUUUUAACAGAAAGAAAAAAAUUGGGCGGCAUGCCUGCAGAAUUACAACCAUAGGGAGAAUAAAUGAGAACAGAAAGAGGAAAAUGAGAUGAGAAGGAAGAAAAAGAGAAAGAAGAAAAAGAGGAAGGAGGAUGAUAAACAAAAAAACAAAAAAAAGAAAUAGUUACUUGAGAUGGGAUUAAACAGGUAUGUAAAAUAUUAAUGAUUAUUCAUUAUUCCUCUUCUUUUUUUUUUUUCCUUUCUCUUUUUCUUUUUUCUUCUUUUUUCUCCUUAUGGCAUAUGCUGUCUUGAAAAUAAAAGAUCUAGGGCAAAAAAUUUGACACCUUAGAGAAAGGGUGCGUGGUACGGCGCAGGCCCAACUCUCCAACGCAUGCCUGAGUGCGCUUGGGCUACAGCGCCCGCCUGGGGUGGUGCAAGGCACUAGCCCUGGCGCUUGGUGCGCCUUGCGCCUCAAGCGCGCCUUUCACAACAGUGUUAGACAUAUAUCCCAUGUUUUAUCCCAUGAAGUGUCAUGUUGACAUGAGUAUCGCAUGGUAAAAUAAAGAGUCAAAGUAUCAAAGGAAAGGAGUCAUGGAGCUAGGCACGUAAGUGGUAAGAUGCACAGUUAAUAAAUUAAGACACCUUAUCUUGUAUAAUAGAACUGUUCAUAUUAAUAGCAUAAAAUAAUUGGAAUUCACCAUCUUUCCUUUUGACUAAAACAAACUACAUAAAACUUAAGUCUAAUUAACAAGCUACAUGCUUAUCAAUUCAUGCAAGUUGGUUUAAUGGGUAGCAGAUUCAUCAAAGAAAAAGGCAAAAGAAAACAAGAAAUGCGGGGUUUAGGAGGCAGCAUAGGAGAAUGAAGCAAAGGAAGUGAGGAAAGUUGCAGAAUAGAUGCGAGAAAGAAGGGAAAAAAGGGACCAAUUGAGGAACAGCUGUGGUAGAUUGAAGAAAAGGGAGUGAAUGAAAAUUACGAUAGCUAAGCUUAUAAAAGAAAAAGAUCCCAGAAAACAAAUCUUUUAUGCAUUUUUUUUUAUUUUAAUUAAUUGCUAUGCAUGAUGUGAUGGGUUAUAUAAUUUUAAUCUCCUCAAUUACUUUUACUAAGUCUUUGUGUUCCUCGAAUGUUAUCUUUUGUCCUGCCUUUUCCUUCCUUGUGCAGCCAUUCCUAUUUUCCUUUUUCCAGUUUUCUUCUUGAACUGGAGUCCCAUUGAAGUCUAUUAAGAUAUUCAAAUCCUAACCAAAAGUAAUUUGGCCCCUGUUUUUUCAUAUAUUUCCAAAAAUCCAUAAAUUAUAAUAACGUAUCUGAUUGCUUAAAUUGCAGAAAACAUAAUACCAAAUUACUUUUGAUGUCCCCAAUAUGAAAUCUAGACCAGAAUUCUAAAUUUCUCAGGUCUUCUGAAUGUUGAAAUUGCAGAAAUACAGUACCAAAAUGCUCUAUGAUGUCUCUAAUAUGAAAUCUAGACUGCAUUUGUUAAUUAACCAUUUCUCUUGCUCAGUCCCAUGUGUACAAUUGAGCUUACAUUGCAUGAGAACUAACGAGUUUUCAUUUUCUUUUUCUUCAGAAUUGCAAGAUAUUCUCCCUCAAGUACUAAGUCAUUUGGGUAUGCAAAUUCCAAUUUGCUACAUGGUAGUUUAGUUAAAUUUGGAGUUUGUAUUUGACCGUAUUCUACUAACUCGAUUUUAUUUUUUUAAAUCUGCUAAUGUAUAGGUCCUGAUAAUUUGGACAACUUGAAGAAGUUGGCGGAGCAGAUCCAGAAGCAGGUGCCUAGUGAUGGUGCUCCAGCAACUGCAGCACAAGAGGAUGAUGAUGAGGUCCCAGAGCUUGUAGCUGGGGAGACUUUUGAAGCUGCUGCAGAGGAGGGUAACGCUAACCCUGCUGCUUAGGAAAUAUAGACAGGGAGUUUGUGCUAUUUUAUAAUACACUUCCUACUUCUUUCUUUCUUUUUUUUAUUUUUUAUUUUUAAAAUUUGUCAAGUUCUUGCUUUUGUAGGUUAUAACUCGAUCAUUCAUCUUAUUUUCUAGAGAUACUGGAUGGUUCAGAUCGACUUUAUAGUUUCUGAGCAAUUUCUGAUUCGUGGUCAGUAUUUUACCAUUUUUAAUUGCAAUUUUUAAAUAGUUGUAGACCUCAAAUCUGUUGUUCUCCCCUCUCUAAGCCACCGAGACGUGUAGUAAUGCGGACAAAAGCAAAACAGAGCGUAAUAUGGUUGGAUUUGAGCUCAAAUUAGCCAUGAACUAGUGUCGUUCCUGUUU
Molecule: long non-coding RNA, 12364 nt
Filed under: Manihot esculenta (cassava)
Lineage: Eukaryota; Viridiplantae; Streptophyta; Magnoliopsida; Malpighiales; Euphorbiaceae
Description: long non-coding RNA (MESC_LNC005119)
Source: RNAcentral